This 1050-nucleotide long non-coding RNA is filed under the name Cyanistes caeruleus (blue tit). Its description in RNAcentral is "lncRNA (ENSCCEG00000002830.1)". The record is from RNAcentral. Lineage: Eukaryota; Metazoa; Chordata; Aves; Passeriformes; Paridae.
AUGCUGGUGGAACCCUGGCAGCACUCCUUUGACCAUAAUGGAAAGCAUAUCCAACACAUGGCCAAAAUCUGGAGAUCCCCCCUCACUUUGCUUCCUGUGGCAGCACAAAUCACAGGAUGGCCAAGGGAGCUGACCCUGCUCUUUGUUCUCCUGCGUUUCUCGCAGCUGCUGGACAAGGGUGGAUUUCUUUGUGCCGGCCGCGGGACGAGGACCUGCCCAAACACGCAGCACAUGAAAGAGGAUCGGGUUGCAAAGGCACCGAGCUCUCCCCUGCACCUGCCCGGACUUCAGCAGGGAUGGGAGUGGAGGAAACACAGAGGAUCAGAGCCAGGAGAAGAUGAUUUUCCCCCAUCUUCACCGUGUGUUCGAGUUUGCGGUCUGAGAACCCAAGAAAACAGCAUCGUUAUCACUCAAAUUCACAUUAAAUUGAGGUUUGGGCUCUGUUCGGGAGUGGUGGCUGUUACCAGCUCUUAUUCCGCUGCCUCAGAUGCCUCCAGUUUCACAGUGCCAGCAGCCCCUUUGACUCUGGCACCUUAUUCUUUGCCAUUUUUGGUGAGUGCAGCCCAAAUACACCCAGAGAUAUCACAUAAGAACAAGUUUAUUCCAAUUAUGAGAGAACACAAGGAUUUUGCUCCUUGAAAAUAUUCAGAUGAAUUUGUUGAUAUACUCUGGAUGGGUCGAUAGAGCAUUUUUAGUGAUAAGGCACCCCCUAGUCCUGCUGGCUGGAUUCCUUGUGAGCAGGUGCUCAAUUUGCCAAUUGUUCAAGUAAAAAAGCUGUUUCUGUCCUCCUUACAUUUUUUUUUUCUUCUUCUUCUUCUUGUAACUUGGGACAAUUUGGGAAAGAUUGCUGCUGGUGAAAACAUGUUAUGUAUUUAUUGUUAUUAUUAUUAUGUGCUAUAAAUUUAUUUGUGUGACAGUAGCACAAAUGUCAUGGAGUCUGAACUGACACAAAGGAAAAAUAUGGUCCCUGUUCCAAAAGCUUUAAAUUAUCCCAACUCACCAAACGUUGAAUGGUGGCUCAGAGUUCAUCCUAUUCAUCUCAAUUUAAUA